Rhineura floridana is the source of this 831-nucleotide long non-coding RNA. RefSeq lists it as uncharacterized. The record is from RefSeq and is a predicted model, not a curated record. NCBI's taxonomy places the organism in Eukaryota, Metazoa, Chordata, Lepidosauria, Squamata, Rhineuridae. The transcript is spliced from 3 exons.
CUCACACUUUGCCUUCUGUUGUUGGCCCCUUUCCGUUUGUCAGCUCUUCCUGGAGCUGGCUGUUUGCAGGUGCGUUCCAGCACCAAUCCCACCCCAUUUAUUUCAGGGGCCUUCCUUGCACCCUAUUGGGGCCUUGCUAGAGUGGGUUUUAAGCAAGUGCUUUGCACAAGCAACCCCCCUUUGUGGAUGGUAACCUUCAUUAACCCCUCCCCCUCCAUUCAGCCUGCUACAUAAUUCUUCCACCCCUUUUUGGAUUGUGGGGAGUUGGGUUGUUUACCCCUCCCCUUAGCCCCCUCCCUUAUUCCUUUUGCCUCUUUCAUGGGGGAGGUGUGAGUUGCUCACAAGGGUGGGGGGUGUCUGCUUGUUUUGUCUUAUUAAUUAAUUAUAUAUAAUAUUAUUUUAUUAUUAAAUAUAUAAAUAAAUAGAUACGUACAUGAAUUAAUUUUCAGAUAUUUCUAGAUAUAUAAUAUCAUUUUAUUAUUAUUAAAUAAAUAAAUACAUGAAUUCAUUUUAAUAUUUAUAGAUAUGUAUUUAGAUUCCCCCCGUUCCUUUUGCUUUUUUCGCGUAGGAGGGCUUCAUAAUUUGUUGCAUUUCUUAUGCAUGGAGGAAAAGUAUAGAUGCUUCUACAAUAGCGUCUCUAAAGGGCAAUAGUUUAUUUUAAGUCUCGUGUACACUGGGCGCUGCUACCAAUUUUCUUCAGCGGCCGUUCUUUCUUCAAAGAACAGAGGACUUCCUCCUGUAGCCUGAACUGCAGGUAAGUUUUGAUACAGGCUGUAGUUGAUAAUUUGGUGUCAAUUCAGGAGCUUGGGCGUGCCAAAUAAUGGCUGGCUG